This 2579-nucleotide long non-coding RNA is filed under the name Oryzias sinensis (Chinese medaka). RNAcentral's name for it is "lncRNA (ENSOSIG00000015275.1)". Lineage: Eukaryota; Metazoa; Chordata; Actinopteri; Beloniformes; Adrianichthyidae. The record is from RNAcentral.
AAUAGAACACAAAUAAUAUCAGUUUAUUUAGUGUUUUUAUUUUAAUAAACUCCUUUCAUUUUCAUUAUUUUAACGUGAUCAUAAAUCAACAGUUUCUCUGCGUUUGGGCGUCAAAUCAAACCACCAACUUUGUACCAAAUCAACCAUAUUUUUUAUUUUAUAAAAUCAAAACCAGCUUUUUGAUCCUGUGGACCGCUGACUGAUUUAAUUUACAAACUUAUGGACUUUAAGUGAGAACUGACUUCCGCUACGUCACUUCCUUUAAACAAAAAUGGCGAUCGUUACUGUUGCUGCUUGAAUGCUUCGUUUUGUUUGUUUUUGUUGUUGUUUGUGUGGCCCUUCGUCAACAUGAAGCUGCUUCCGGUUCCGCUCUAAUCCCCGGAGGUUCUGACGGUCCACCUGCACACCUGGAACAGGUCCACCUGCACACCUGGAACAGGUCCACCUGCACACCUGGAACAGGUCCACCUGCACACCUGGAAAAGGUCCACCUGCACACCUGGAAAAGGUCCACCUGCACACCUGGAACAGGUUCCCCACCUCUCUGUUCUUCUGCAGCAGUCCAGGUCGCUCUGUUCUCCCUCCUUCAUGCUCAGAACCAAAUCUUGUUCACUUCAGUGGGAACGCAUGUGGACUUUCCACAGAGAGGAGGAGAACCAAAGGGAGGAGGUGCUGUAAGCUCUGUGUGUUUGGAGGAGAACCAAACAGCCACAGGGAGAGUCCAAAGAAGCAGGAACCCUGAAGGAGUUUGGAAAUGCAUGCUGGGUAAAGGAGGAGCAGUGAGGAGCGGCAGGAACUCCUUCAGAGGUGAUCCUCAGAGGACCAGAGGCUAUUCUUCCUGACAUUUUCAGACAGUAGCGUGGUUGAGUCAGUCCUCAGUGGGUGAAGUUCUCCUCAGUGGGUGAAGUUCUCCUCAGUGGGUGAAGUUCUCCUCAGUGGGUGAAGUUCUCCUAAGUGGGUGAAGUUCUCCUCAGUGGGUGAAGUUCUCCUAAGUGGGUGAAGUUCUCCUCAGUGGGUGAAGGUUCUCCUAAGUGGGUGAAGUUCUCCUCCUCCUCAGUCUUUAUGUCCCAGACAGGAAGUAGUAGAGAGCCGUAAACUUCAGGCUGAUGGUUCCUAAAGUCAGGCGGGUGGGUCUACGUUGUCCUAAAGCAGAAAUUCUCUAUGUCUGGUUCAGACUAAAGGAUCCUACGUCAGACUCAUGGCAGUACAGUAAUAGAUUACUUCUGCUAUUACUAAGUACACUUGAGUCACUUUUGUUACAUUUUUUGGCUAAAGUGUUAAUGUUCAGAUUAAGCAGAGCCGUUUUUUGUCACUUGACCUCUGGACCAGGGGGGUAUUCCAGAAGGCCCGCUUAAACUCCCCUGACUUUAAGCCUGAACUCUGGCUGAAAUCCACCUGAACUUGCUUACUCUGGGUAUGUCGGUUCCAAAAGACCGGAUAUGAGUUAGCGUAAUUACGCUCCACUUGGUAACCCUGGGUUAACGCACGUGCACAGCAGGUACAUAAAGACAUUCUCAAUGGAUCCCCGAUUUCCAGAGUCACCAUGGAAACGCGUGGAGAAAAAGAACAGACAAAGUAAACGCACGAGUUUCUGAUCUUAUUUCUAUUUUUAUUGUGACGCAUAGAUAUAUAUAACUUAUAAAACUUAAAUUCAUUCAAUUGGUAACAAGUAAUUGGGUUACAUUUAUUCAACCUAAUUUCUUACGUCUAUCCAACUCGGUGUUUAUACAACAGAAAUUUACAUAUUUAUCUAACUAAAUGUCAUUUUACUCCAAUUCAAUGAAAUGUUUUUCCAUCUUCAUUUAUUGUACUUCUUGAACUCUCAGAUGUCUAAAUUUGAGCCUGCAGAUAUUCUCACAUUUAUAUAACGAUAAAAUGAAUAAUCCAGUAUGGAUUUAUAAUAUAUACCAUUUGUUAUCAUGACUGACUGUGACUUCAGUUCUUAUUCCAUUCUGUUGCACUAGUGGUGCUAUAUAAACUCAUCCUCCUCUCCCUCCCUCUCAGUAAUGGUGCAGAAAGAAUUAAACAUAACAGGACAAAUAACUAGACAAAACACGGUAAAACACAGUAAAACAGCUAAACAAAUAAACAUAUUUGGUCAAAAACCCACACUUAAACCCAAAUCCGUCCAGACAGGCAAAGGGAAUGAUAUCCCACAAUCCCUUGCAGUGCCGACCUAACAGCAGCAUCAAAGUUACACCUACUUAAUUGAAUUAAUUUGAAUAAAAGUAAAAUAACUGUCUGAAAACUAUGUGUUAUUUUUAAGCUGACUUAACAAAAAAAAAGAUUUUUAAUUAUCUUAACUAAAGCAAAUAACUAAGUUAGAUCAAAGUAUAAAGUUUCUCUUUCCAACAUCCAUAUGUGGUCUUAUCAUCCUCUCACGGUGGAAAAAGUAUUUUCUGAGCUUCUUCAUCCACUAAAUCAUCUUCAAAUGGACACGCCAUGCUGCUUCACCUCUCUGAAAACAAACUAACCUUCAACUAAACCUGUUCCAGACCAGGUUAUGUUCAGAGCAUCAGUUGCCAUGGCAACUUGACAUACCCUGAAACAUACCUCCAUUUCUGGAACCGAAAGCUGAG